CCGAUGAUAGCUCAGCUGGUAGAGCAUGGGACUGUAGUUGUACCUGUUAUCCUGUGGUCGGCGGUUCGAUUCCGUCUCAUCGGA
Molecule: transfer RNA, 84 nt
Organism: Naegleria gruberi
Lineage: Eukaryota; Heterolobosea; Eutetramitea; Acrasida; Naegleriidae
Rfam family: tRNA
About the family: Transfer RNA (tRNA) molecules are approximately 80 nucleotides in length. Their secondary structure includes four short double-helical elements and three loops (D, anti-codon, and T loops). Further hydrogen bonds mediate the characteristic L-shaped molecular structure. tRNAs have two regions of fundamental functional importance: the anti-codon, which is responsible for specific mRNA codon recognition, and the 3' end, to which the tRNAs corresponding amino acid is attached (by aminoacyl-tRNA synthetases). tRNAs cope with the degeneracy of the genetic code in two manners: having more than one tRNA (with a specific anti-codon) for a particular amino acid; and 'wobble' base-pairing, i.e. permitting non-standard base-pairing at the 3rd anti-codon position.
Source: Rfam